CCUACGGGUGGCAGCAGUGGGGAAUAUUGGACAAUGGGCGAAAGCCUGAUCCAGCCAUGCCGCGUGUGUGAAGAAGACCUUCGGGUUGUAAAGCACUUUCAGUGGGGAAGAAAGCCUUGGGGCUAAUACCCUCGAGGAAGGACAUCACCCACAGAAGAAGCACCGGCUACCUCCGUGCCAGCAGCCGCGGUAAUACGGAGGGUGCGAGCGUUAAUCGGAAUUACUGGGCGUAAAGCGCGCGUAGGCGGUCUGAUAAGCCGGUUGUGAAAGCCCCGGGCUCAACCUGGGAACGGCAUCCGGAACUGUCAGGCUAGAGUGCAGGAGAGGAAGGUAGAAUUCCCGGUGUAGCGGUGAAAUGCGUAGAGAUCGGGAGGAAUACCAGUGGCGAAGGCGGCCUUCUGGACUGACACUGACGCUGAGGUGCGAAAGCGUGGGUAGCAAACAGGAUUAGAUACCCUGGUAGUC
This 465-nucleotide ribosomal RNA is filed under the name Vreelandella stevensii. RNAcentral's name for it is "partial 16S ribosomal RNA". It matches the Rfam family "Bacterial small subunit ribosomal RNA", at positions 338 to 795 of the family's 1533-position model. Lineage: Bacteria; Pseudomonadati; Pseudomonadota; Gammaproteobacteria; Oceanospirillales; Halomonadaceae. The record is from RNAcentral.